GACUGGAUUUCUACGGUACAAGCUGGGUGUUUGCAUUUGAGCUUGGUUUGGCUUUUGCUUGAUUCGUUUGGCUGCUGACAUGUAAGAUUUGAGGUAGUCCAUGAGUGGACAUUUAAGUGAUAUUCUGGAGCUUUCUUGAGUGGAAGAUUGCUUGGUUUUACUUUGUGUUGUAUCGUGCCAAUGAGUUGUUAGUACUGACAGAUAAGCAAAUAGUUGCCAAGGUGACAUCUUACCUGUCAAAGUGCAUCAAGGACUUCGAGAAUGCUGCUGUGAUAAAUAAGGACAAGUUUUAUGUUUUCUGGCUUUAUGUAUUUAAAUGCACUUAGGGAAUGUUAAUUCUUAUGUAAAAGUUGAGAUGAAUAUUGCUGAUAGAAUGAAAU
Molecule: long non-coding RNA, 380 nt
Organism: Rosa rugosa (rugosa rose)
Lineage: Eukaryota; Viridiplantae; Streptophyta; Magnoliopsida; Rosales; Rosaceae
Exons: 3
Source: RefSeq, a predicted model, not a curated record